UACGGAGGGGGCGAGCGUUAUUCGGAAUUAUUGGGCGUAAAGGGCGCGUAGGCGGCUUGUCAAGUCAAAGGUGAAAUCCCUCGGCUCAACUGAGGAACUGCCUUUGAAACUAGCGAGCUUGAGGCCGGGAGGGGGUAGCGGAAUUCCCAGUGUAGCGGUGAAAUGCGUAGAUAUUGGGAGGAACACCAGUGGCGAAGGCGGCUACCUGGACCGGUUCUGACGCUGAGGCGCGAAAGCGUGGGUAGCAAACAGG
RNAcentral lists this ribosomal RNA (253 nucleotides) under uncultured bacterium. Its description in RNAcentral is "partial 16S ribosomal RNA". It matches the Rfam family "Bacterial small subunit ribosomal RNA", at positions 524 to 776 of the family's 1533-position model. The record is from RNAcentral.